RNAcentral lists this ribosomal RNA (253 nucleotides) under uncultured bacterium. RNAcentral describes it as "partial 16S ribosomal RNA". It matches the Rfam family "Bacterial small subunit ribosomal RNA", at positions 524 to 776 of the family's 1533-position model. The record is from RNAcentral.
UACGUAGGGUGCGAGCGUUAAUCGGAAUUACUGGGCGUAAAGCGUGCGCAGGCGGCGCGUUAAGACAGGUGUGAAAGCCCCGAGCUUAACUUGGGAAUUGCGCUUGUGACUGGCGUGCUGGAGUGUGGCAGAGGGAGGUGGAAUUCCACGUGUAGCAGUGAAAUGCGUAGAGAUGUGGAAGAACACCUAUGGCGAAGGCAGCUCUCUGGGACGGUACUGACGCUGAGACGCGAAAGCGUGGGGAGCGAACAGG